AACGAACGCUGGCGGCGUGGAUAAGACAUGCAAGUCGGACGCUGAUUGCCGGGUAGCAAUAUUCGGCAGUCGGAGUGGCGUAAGGGUGCGUAACACGUGGGUAAUCUGCCCUGAAGUUGGGGAUAACUCGCUGAAAGGCGAGCUAAUACCGAAUGUGGAUCUUGGGUGGCAUCGCCUGAGAUCCAAAGUUGGGGACCGUAAGGCCUGACGCUUCAGGAUGAGCCCGCGGCCUAUCAGCUUGUUGGUGAGGUAACGGCUCACCAAGGCUAAGACGGGUAGCUGGUCUGAGAGGACGACCAGCCACACUGGAACUGAGACACGGUCCAGACACCUACGGGUGGCAGCAGUCGAGAAUUUUUCACAAUGGGCGAAAGCCUGAUGGAGCGACGCCGCGUGGGGGAUGAAUGGCUUCGGCCCGUAAACCCCUGUCAUUUGCGAACAAACCUUGACCGCUAACACCGGUCGAGCUGAUUGUAGCGAAAGAGGAAGGGACGGCUAACUCUGUGC
Molecule: ribosomal RNA, 507 nt
Filed under: uncultured bacterium
Lineage: Bacteria
Description: bacterial SSU rRNA
Rfam family: Bacterial small subunit ribosomal RNA
Source: RNAcentral